UCAGCGUGGCUACUUUGCCACCUGGUGGAUGGCUCGGCUCGAGUGCCGACGAAGGACGUGCCAAGCUGCGAAAAGCUGCAGGGACCCGCACGGAGGGAAAGAACUGCAGAUCUCCUAAUAGGAAUCCUCUCGCAAUUGCCUUGCGCAAUGGGGAACGCCGGGAAUUGAAACAUCUCAGUACCGGCAGGAAGAGAAAGCAAUCCGCGAUGUCGUUAGUAACGGCGAGUAAACGCGACACAGUCCAAACCGAAGCCCUCACGGGCAAUGUGGUGUUCGGACUGACUCUCACUGCUCGACCGUCUGCAUGAAGUCUCUUGGAACAGAGCACGAUACAGGGUGACAGUCCCGUAAUCCAGACCAGUACAGCACGCGUCAGCUCCAGAGUAGCGGGGGUUGGAUAUCCCUCGUGAAUAUGGCAGGCAUCAACUGCUAAGACUAAAUACUACUCGAGACCGAUAGUGAACAAGUAGCGUGAGCGAACACUGAAAAGCACCCCGAAAAGGGAGGUGCAAUAGGGCCUGAAAUCAGGUGGCGAUAGAGCGACGUGGCACAAAAGGUCCUGUGAAAAACGACCCGCCCGCAAGGGCACAGUAGGAAUCACAGGAAGCCGGUGUCGCGUCGUGCGUUUUGAAAAACGAGCCAGGGAGUGUAUCUGAUCGACGAGUCUAACCCGUUAACCGGGGAAGGCGUAGGGAAACCGACAGGGCCGCAGUAUUACCAGGGCCGCCGUGUUCAAGCGCGGGGAGUCGACCGGAUACGACCCGAAACCAGGCGAUCUAUGCGUGGGCAAGGCGAAGCGUGCCGAAAGGCACGUGGAGGCCUGUUAGAGUUGGUGUCCUUCAAUACCCUCUCGUGACCUACGUAUAGGGGUGAAAGGCCCAUCGAGCCUGGCAACAGCUGGUUCCAGCCGAAACAUGUCGAAGCAUGACCUCUGCUAAGGUAGUUCGUGGGGUAGAGCGACCGAUUGGGAGACUCGCCAUCGAGAGAUGUCGACCUCCCUGUCAAACUCCAAACCUACGAACGCCAUCGAUGCAGGGAGUCCGGUGUGCGGGGUAAGCCUGUGCACCAUGAGGGAGACAACCCAGAGUCGGGUUAAGGACCCAAAAUGCGGACUAAGUGCGAUUGAAGGUGGUCUCAAGCCCUAAACAGCCGGGAGGUGAGCUUAGAAGCAGCUACCCUCUAAGAAAAGCGUAACAGCUUACCGGCCGAGGUUUGAGGCGCCGAAAAUGAUCGGGGCUCAAGUCCGCUUCCGAGACCUGACGAUGCUCUUGACCGAGCAAUUCCGUAGGCUGGCGCUCUGAUCGGGUGGAAGCACGGGUGAGAACUCGUGUGGACCGAUCAGUGACGAAAAUCCUGGCCAUAGUAGCAGCGUUAGUCGGGUGAGAACCCCGACGGCCGAACGAGCAAGGGUUCCUCGACAAUGCCAAUCAGUCGAGGGUUAGCCGAUCCUAAGUCACACCGUAAUUCGAAUGUGACAACAGGGAAACUGGUUAAUAUUCCAGUGCUCUCAUACACUCAAAGUUGACGCUUUGGGGACAGUCGAGCUGGGCCUUCGCCCAGUCGAAUCGUGGAAAUCCGUGGAAGCCGUAAUGGCACGAAGCGGACGAAUCACGAGAUAGCGUAAGUCGACCGUACCUAGAGCCCGUGAAAAGACGAGUAUGAGAUUCGUACCAAGAACCGACACAGGUGCUCGUGGCAGUGAAAGCCAAGGCCUGUCGGGAACAACCGACGUUAGGGAAUUCGGCAAGUUAGUCCCGUAAGUUCGCGAUAAGGGAUGCCUGCCCUGUAUAGGGGCAGGUCGCAGUGACUCGGACGCUCCGACUGUCUAGUAACAACAUAGGUGACCGCAAAUCCGCAAGGACUCGUACGGUCACUGAAUCCUGCCCAGUGCGGGUAUCUGAACACCUAGUACAAUAGGACGAAGGACCCGUCAACGGCGGGGGUAACUAUGACCCUCUUAAGGUAGCGUAGUACCUUGCCGCUUCAGUAGCGGCUUGCAUGAAUGGAUCAACGAGAGCGUCACUGUCCCAACGUUGGGCCCGGUGAACUGUACGUUCCAGUGCGGAGUCUGGAGACCCCCAAGGGGAAGCGAAGACCCUAUAGAGCUUUACUGCAGGCUGUCGCUGGGACACGGUCGCUAAUGUGCAGGAUAGGUAGGAGUCAUUACACAGGUACCCGCGCUAGCGGGCCACCGAGACAUCACUGAAAUACUACCCAUUAGUGACUGUGACCCUCACUCCGGGAGGAGGACACCGGUAGCCGGGCAGUUUGACUGGGGCGGUACGCGCUUGAAAAGAUAUCGAGCGCGCCCUAAGUCCAUCUCAUCCGAGUCGGAGACUCGGAGAAGAGCGCAAGAGCAUAAGAUGGGCUGACAAUGAUCUUCCUAACGAGGAUCGUUGACGCGAAAGCGUGGUCUAGCGAACCAAUUAUCCUGCUCGAUGCGGGAAAUUGAUGACAGAAAAGCUACCUUAGGGAUAACAGAGUCGUCACGCGCAAGAGCACAUAUCGACCGCGUGGCUUGCUACCUCGAUGUCGGUUCCCUCCAUCCUGCCCGUGCAGAAGCGGGCAAGGGUGAGGUUGUUCGCCUAUUAAAGGAGGUCGUGAGCUGGGUUUAGACCGUCGUGAGACAGGUCGGCUGCUAUCUAUUGGGGGUGCUAUGGCACCUGACGUGAACGUUCGUAUAGUACGAGAGGAACUACGAAUGGUGACCACUGGUGUACCGGUUGUCCGAGAGGGCACGUGCCGGGCAGCUACGUCACACGGGGUAAGAGCUGAAUGCAUCUAAGCUCGAAACCCACAUGGAAAAGAGGUGCCGCUGAGACCACUCGUAGAAGACGAGUUCGAUAGACUCGGGAUGUACGCGCCAAGGCAACGAGGCGUUCAGUCCGCGAGCACUAACAGGUCAAGCCACACAAU
Molecule: ribosomal RNA, 2916 nt
Filed under: Haloarchaeobius sp. HME9146
Lineage: Archaea; Methanobacteriati; Methanobacteriota; Halobacteria; Halobacteriales; Halorubellaceae
Description: 23S ribosomal RNA
Rfam family: Archaeal large subunit ribosomal RNA
Source: RNAcentral